UAAGGAAUAUUGGUCAAUGCCCGGAAGGGUGAACCAGCCAUCCCGCGUGAAGGAUGAAGGGGCUCUGCCUUGUAAACUUCUUUUGAAUGGGACGAAAAAGCCUCACUUGUGAGGAACUGACGGUACCAUUAGAAUAAGCACCGGCUAACUCCGUGCCAGCAGCCGCGGUAAUACGGAGGGUGCGAGCGUUAUCCGGAAUCACUGGGUUUAAAGGGUGCGUAGGCGGCUGUAUAAGUCAGUGGUGAAAGGCUGUGGCUUAACCAUGGGAUUGCCAUUGAUACUGUACGGCUUGAAUUAGGAUGAGGUUGGCGGAAUGUGACAUGUAGCGGUGAAAUGCUUAGAUAUGUCAUGGAACAUCGAUUGCGAAGGCAGCUGACUGGACCUUAAUUGACGCUGAGGCACGAAAGCGUGGGGAGCGAACAGGAUUAGAUACCCACGUAGUCCCUGAGCGGGCUGGCAAGGCGCAU
This 467-nucleotide ribosomal RNA is filed under the name uncultured bacterium. RNAcentral's name for it is "bacterial SSU rRNA". It matches the Rfam family "Bacterial small subunit ribosomal RNA", at positions 355 to 825 of the family's 1533-position model. The record is from RNAcentral.